Capsicum annuum is the source of this 80-nucleotide non-coding RNA. Lineage: Eukaryota; Viridiplantae; Streptophyta; Magnoliopsida; Solanales; Solanaceae. The record is from Rfam.
AUAAGGAUGAAGAAAGACAUCAUUUGGAGUCGCUAUGAUGUGCCUAUAGUGAUUAGUAGAACCAGCUACUUCUGACUGAA